Molecule: ribosomal RNA, 460 nt
Filed under: uncultured bacterium
Lineage: Bacteria
Description: partial 16S ribosomal RNA
Rfam family: Bacterial small subunit ribosomal RNA
Source: RNAcentral
CCUACGGGAGGCAGCAGUGAGGAAUAUUGGUCAAUGGACGAGAGUCUGAACCAGCCAAGUAGCGUGAAGGAUGACUGCCCUAUGGGUUGUAAACUUCUUUUAUAUGGGAAUAAAAUGUUCCACGUGUGGGAUUUUGUAUGUACCAUAUGAAUAAGGAUCGGCUAACUCCGUGCCAGCAGCCGCGGUAAUACGGAGGAUCCGAGCGUUAUCCGGAGUUAUUGGGUUUAAAGGGAGCGUAGGUGGAUUGUUAAGUCAGUUGUGAAAGUUUGCGGCUCAACCGUAAAAUUGCAGUUGAAACUGGCAGUCUUGAGUACAGUAGAGGUGGGCGGAAUUCGUGGUGUAGCGGUGAAAUGCUUAGAUAUCACGAAGAACUCCGAUUGCGAAGGCAGUUCACUGGACUGCAACUGACACUGAGGCUCGAAAGUGUGGGUAUCAAACAGGAUUAGAUACCCGAGUAGUC